RNAcentral lists this long non-coding RNA (1107 nucleotides) under Rattus norvegicus (Norway rat). RNAcentral describes it as "long non-coding RNA NONRATT005623". Lineage: Eukaryota; Metazoa; Chordata; Mammalia; Rodentia; Muridae. The record is from RNAcentral.
GGAGGUCCCGAUGCAGCUCCUGAAAGUGUCGGAAUUUCUUCUUGGUUGUCCAGGGUCCAGAAAAAGCACCUAGCCAAGAUGGGAUGGCCUCGAACUGGGGCGAGGUUAAGUCCAAGGGAGGAGCCCUGGUGACAGCAGGGCUCAAAGUCAGGCCAGACUGACUGGAAGCGAGGGUCCCGGCGGGAAUGAGGAAGUUACGCGCUCCCCGCCCAGAAGAGAAAUCCUGAAAUCUGGAUGAGCGGCUGAGUCAGAAGGCCCGAGCAGCUCCAGCCUGACAACGUCCCCGCCCGGUUCCCGGGGCUCCGGACCUCAGCGGCACUACGUCCGGGGCCCAGCACCUUGGAUGCGGGCCCCGGCGCCCGAGCGGGUUCGGAAGCAGAGGGAGCAGAACUCAGCAAGGAGCCUACACCCUAGAGGACCUGGGCGGGGCCGGGGUUCAGAGCCUGCCCUCGGGGGCGGGAAGGACCCCAGGGCUCACCUCCACAGCUGUCGCGUCAGCUGGGUCCCGCCCCCGCCGUCCUCUGCCCGCCCUGCGUUAGAGACGCCCGGGCCCAGGCCGCCCACUCCAGGGCCACCCACUCCCCAGAGUUGUCCUCUUCCUCCGGCUGCCCUCGGGGCACCUGGCUGGCUAGGUCCAGCACCCCGCAGUGUGCGAGCCACGCAGCGCACAUUCCUCUACUGCGCGUGCACGCGCGGCCAUUGGGUAGUCUGGUCCCCAGCGCUGCCUGGAUCAGGGCGGAACUGGCCUGGGUUGGACCUGCUGUUAUCCCCUCGGUGGGCCCGGUACAGACAGCCUUUGUUGAUGGGAGGUAAUACGAGCAUAAAAAGCCUAGUGACUGCAAGCUCGUUGCUGUAUGAGAAAUCACAUUCUUCAUUCAUGAAAGGUUUAUUUCGCAGGAGCGAUUAAUCAGACAUUGAGGUACAAUAAUAGACCAGUCUUGAAACCUGAGUCCUAAUCGCCUGUAAGUUUAAGUCUGGAAAAGACUUUUUUCCCCCCAGAUCCUAAAGGCUGUCCUUUUCUUCCAAAUUGCCACUGAAUCAGCAUUCGAAUUGUUUUAGGUUUUGUCCACUGGAAAUGGACUUCCAAUAAACGUUUGUGUACCUGUG